UCGGGUUGGUCGUGUACAGAGGGAGGGGACUAGGGGAGUGAGAGAGGUGAGGGUCUGAGGGUCAGGUGAGUACUACGGUCUAGAGCCGCUCAGUGGGUGAGGUGGGGGAGGCGAGAGCGGAGGUGUCGGCCGCUGGAGCAGAGCGUGGCGGCGGGGGAGAGUAAGGGAGGGGUCGAGGGGAGGUGAGUAGACUGCCGCCGAUCUACGCGUGUGUUGGCCGCUGGUUGUAGUGUGUUUCCAGCGGUGGCGGCCGCCACCUUCCUGUCAGAAGAGGGCGGCGAUCGGCGUCGGAGGCGGAGCGGGACUAGGAGCCGGAGGAGCUGGCGGCGAGCGAGAGGAGCCUUCGUGGAGCGGCGGAGGGACGGGUACGGCACAAGCGGCUGACGGGACGAGCGCGGCUGGAGCGGUUAGAGCGCCGGCGUGAACCGUCACGAGCUGAACAGGAGCGGCGGAGGUCGCCGCGGCCCAGGAAGGGCACGGAGAUGGCGGAGGACCUGCUCAGUAGGAGAGGGGUUUAGCUGUGGGCGGGGAAACAGCUCGGACAGCACGGUCGCUGUACUCGUCCUACCACAUGUGGCCGAAGUGUCUGUACACCGGCAGCUCCGAAGCCUACUCCAGCUGCGCCUACUCUUGUCAAGUAUCUCGGCAUGGUCCUAGGAUAUCUCGUUUACCCGUAGUAGCUGCACGUCAUGUGCGAGAGAAUCCGUCUAUUCAUUGGAGUCUGUUGAAUAAAACACUUCUAGCCACCAAGUACCAGACUUUCAAAACAAAAAGAGAGAUUUAAAACAUGAAUCUAUUAGGGAAUUUACGAAAAAUGACGAACUAGUGUAUUAUGUACAGGCACGUUCUUUCCUCAACAAUUGACUUUGUUAUUACAAUUAAAAACAACAAUUGACUUUGUUAUUACAAUUAAAAACAAUUGAUGUUUGACAGAACCUGUAACCAAAAAAGUUUAAUUGAGGCACAACUUGACCAAGAAGAACAACACACAACGUCGGGUCGUUAGACAAGUACGGUUUACUAACUCAGGACCACUCCAAGUAACGACCUGUACGUGCCAGAGGCGUCCGUUCCUUGUGUAUUUUCAUUUAGUCGCACAAUAGUCUUUGAGUACUCGUACUUUCUCUUUAAACCUAGUACACGCUUGUACCCAUCUCUCGUCUAGCUACUCUUGAACUUCUAAUUUCCGUUACUUUCCAGAUAUGUGUAAUCGUAGGCUUGGUCUUGUUAGUUCAAGUUUCGAGAGUACCAACUGACCUCUUUUAGUUUCCUCCACACUCAAGCCUUCAUUAUGGACCUGAUGGAUACCCCUCAAGAUACCAACUGCGUCUCCCCUAACAACGAAGUACAUAUUAGUCCGGCAGUUACCAACACCCAGUCGACGUUACCGAACGCUUUCCUUAACAAGUUUAACCAAGGCAUUUUACCGUCGCCCAUCUCAAGAACAGGACGUGUUUCCUUCCAAUGAAACCAUCUUGCAGUGUUUUUAAUAUCUGCCCCAAUCCUAUGGAGAGCUCUUCGUCAUAUACGGAGCGAUCGUGUGUUCUUGUCACUCCUGGUACAUGAUUAGCCUGCUUGUCAACCCCGAUACAGUGUGGUGGUUAGCCUGUCAACAUAUCAAUUGGGUCAGAGAAGGGCGUAAUCAAAUUGGUCUUCACUUGACACAUGUCCAAUGAUUCGCACCUCUUGGACACAGUGCUGUACAGCGACCGUCGGCGCGGCCGUGGCGUGUGGACUAGACUGCCGUUUGAAACUUCUUUGACAAGUUUAUGUGUACUAGGUUUGCGUUUGGACCUUCGCACCUCUUAGUCCGGAACGGUCGGGGCGAGCCUUCUAUCCUAAAACAACAUAUACCUUUCUCGUUUUUAUAAUCUAAUUUGAUAACAAAUACCUUCGAAGAGCACUGCCUUAAAAGGCUAUACUAAGGUAUACAAAACUAAACUAACCACAGCAUUUAACUUCCUUUCCUACCUUCCAAACAACAAAAUAUACCUUCCCCUCCCUUGCAAACCGAACCAAGA
RNAcentral lists this ribosomal RNA (2021 nucleotides) under Triticum aestivum (bread wheat). RNAcentral's name for it is "partial small subunit ribosomal RNA". Lineage: Eukaryota; Viridiplantae; Streptophyta; Magnoliopsida; Poales; Poaceae. The record is from RNAcentral.